AUACGUAGGUGACAAGCGUUAUCCGGAUUUACUGGGCGUAAAGGGCGUGUAGGCGGUCUUGCAAGUCAGAAGUGAAAUUCCUGAGCUCAACUCGGGCGCUGCUUCUGAAACUGCAGGACUUGAGUGCUGGAGGGGAUAGCGGAAUUCCUAGUGGAGCGGUAAAAUGCGCAGAUAUUAGGAAGAACACCGGUGGCGAAGACGGCUCCCGGGACAGUAAAGGACGCUGAGGCGCGAAAGCGUGGGGAGCAAACAGGAUUAGAUGCCCGGGUAGUCCACGCCGUAAACGAUGAAUACUAGGUUUAGGGGGUAUCGACUCCCUCUGUGCCGCAGUUAACACAAUAAGUAUUCCGCCUGGGGAGUACGGCCGCAAGGUUGAAACUCAAAUGAAUUGGCGGGG
Molecule: ribosomal RNA, 397 nt
Filed under: uncultured bacterium
Lineage: Bacteria
Description: partial 16S ribosomal RNA
Rfam family: Bacterial small subunit ribosomal RNA
Source: RNAcentral